UAAUCUUAGUGGCGGACGGGUGAGUAACGCGUGGGUAACCUGCCUUACACUGGGGGAUAACACUUAGAAAUAGGUGCUAAUACCGCAUAAGCGCACGAAGCCGCAUGGAUUUGUGUGAAAAACUCCGGUGGUGUAAGAUGGACCCGCGUCUGAUUAGCUUGUUGGCGGGGUAACGGCCCACCAAGGCGACGAUCAGUAGCCGGCCUGAGAGGGUGGACGGCCACAUUGGGACUGAGACACGGCCCAAACUCCUACGGAAGGCAGCAG
RNAcentral lists this ribosomal RNA (267 nucleotides) under uncultured bacterium. Its description in RNAcentral is "partial 16S ribosomal RNA". It matches the Rfam family "Bacterial small subunit ribosomal RNA", at positions 87 to 354 of the family's 1533-position model. The record is from RNAcentral.